CUUUCUAGUCCCAUAACUUCCCAGUUUACCGUUUCGGCCACCCAACCUGGAGACAGCAGUUGUGAAAUCUUCCCAGGCAUGUCGCUUGGCAGGUCGCCAUCAGGACUACUAGGACAGACCUGACCAAAAGUCUCACUCACCGAGCUCUCUGACCACCCUGGGGUGUCUACACACCGUUCCUCCCAUGAGAGCAGCUCCUUGUUCAGAGAGCUCUCCAUAUCACCUUGGAAAAAGAUGAAAGAUGCAGUGGAAAAAUGAACAAGGGAUCUGAGUGUCAUCGUACACACUCAAACCUGUUCAACUUCACUUAGAGACUUGGAAAUCCCUGCCCAAGAAGAGCUGAUCUUAAUGACAAGGAUCACAAGUUUGGCCACAUGCCUUACAAAAAUGUUUCUAUGUAUCUGAGACAGAUGGGUUUCAGUCUAGAUCUCGGCAUCCUGCCUCAGCAUCCUGGGGUUCAGGGAUAAUUGUGCACCACCAUGCCCUGUUCCUGUCACAACUCUGGAAGAAGUUCUGCAAAACACAAAUGUGUGUCCUGCCUCAGCUCCAAGCAACACCUGGAGCCUGGAUGGUGACACCCAUAUCACCAACCCAAGACUUGCCAUUGGCAACCCAGAUGCUCUGAGGGGCCUCCGUCCGGAAGGCAUCCUCACUAGCUAUUGUGUUAGCUCAGGUUUCGAUCCCAUCAUUAAGCUUUACUCUUUGACUUCAUAAAGAUUCUCUUCUCUAUCCACCUGACUAGUUACAGAAGUCAGUAUCCUCUUCUACAGGUCUCAAAGGGAGGAUUAAGUAAUAGUUGCUUAAUGAAGCAAGAAAGCAAAUAUGGUUGGCCAUAUGUUGCCAAGAAAAAGAAGAAUGUGUCUUGUUUCCUAGAAGAAGAAGAAGAAGAAGAAGAAGAAGAAGAAGAAGAAGAAGA
This 916-nucleotide long non-coding RNA is filed under the name Mus pahari (shrew mouse). RNAcentral's name for it is "lncRNA (MGP_PahariEiJ_G0005892.1)". The record is from RNAcentral. Lineage: Eukaryota; Metazoa; Chordata; Mammalia; Rodentia; Muridae.